RNAcentral lists this ribosomal RNA (1549 nucleotides) under Klebsiella pneumoniae. RNAcentral's name for it is "bacterial SSU rRNA". It matches the Rfam family "Bacterial small subunit ribosomal RNA". Lineage: Bacteria; Pseudomonadati; Pseudomonadota; Gammaproteobacteria; Enterobacterales; Enterobacteriaceae. The record is from RNAcentral.
AAAUUGAAGAGUUUGAUCAUGGCUCAGAUUGAACGCUGGCGGCAGGCCUAACACAUGCAAGUCGAGCGGUAGCACAGAGAGCUUGCUCUCGGGUGACGAGCGGCGGACGGGUGAGUAAUGUCUGGGAAACUGCCUGAUGGAGGGGGAUAACUACUGGAAACGGUAGCUAAUACCGCAUAACGUCGCAAGACCAAAGUGGGGGACCUUCGGGCCUCAUGCCAUCAGAUGUGCCCAGAUGGGAUUAGCUAGUAGGUGGGGUAACGGCUCACCUAGGCGACGAUCCCUAGCUGGUCUGAGAGGAUGACCAGCCACACUGGAACUGAGACACGGUCCAGACUCCUACGGGAGGCAGCAGUGGGGAAUAUUGCACAAUGGGCGCAAGCCUGAUGCAGCCAUGCCGCGUGUGUGAAGAAGGCCUUCGGGUUGUAAAGCACUUUCAGCGGGGAGGAAGGCGUUAAGGUUAAUAACCUUGGCGAUUGACGUUACCCGCAGAAGAAGCACCGGCUAACUCCGUGCCAGCAGCCGCGGUAAUACGGAGGGUGCAAGCGUUAAUCGGAAUUACUGGGCGUAAAGCGCACGCAGGCGGUCUGUCAAGUCGGAUGUGAAAUCCCCGGGCUCAACCUGGGAACUGCAUUCGAAACUGGCAGGCUAGAGUCUUGUAGAGGGGGUAGAAUUCCAGGUGUAGCGGUGAAAUGCGUAGAGAUCUGGAGGAAUACCGGUGGCGAAGGCGGCCCCCUGGACAAAGACUGACGCUCAGGUGCGAAAGCGUGGGGAGCAAACAGGAUUAGAUACCCUGGUAGUCCACGCCGUAAACGAUGUCGAUUUGGAGGUUGUGCCCUUGAGGCGUGGCUUCCGGAGCUAACGCGUUAAAUCGACCGCCUGGGGAGUACGGCCGCAAGGUUAAAACUCAAAUGAAUUGACGGGGGCCCGCACAAGCGGUGGAGCAUGUGGUUUAAUUCGAUGCAACGCGAAGAACCUUACCUGGUCUUGACAUCCACAGAACUUUCCAGAGAUGGAUUGGUGCCUUCGGGAACUGUGAGACAGGUGCUGCAUGGCUGUCGUCAGCUCGUGUUGUGAAAUGUUGGGUUAAGUCCCGCAACGAGCGCAACCCUUAUCCUUUGUUGCCAGCGGUCCGGCCGGGAACUCAAAGGAGACUGCCAGUGAUAAACUGGAGGAAGGUGGGGAUGACGUCAAGUCAUCAUGGCCCUUACGACCAGGGCUACACACGUGCUACAAUGGCAUAUACAAAGAGAAGCGACCUCGCGAGAGCAAGCGGACCUCAUAAAGUAUGUCGUAGUCCGGAUUGGAGUCUGCAACUCGACUCCAUGAAGUCGGAAUCGCUAGUAAUCGUAGAUCAGAAUGCUACGGUGAAUACGUUCCCGGGCCUUGUACACACCGCCCGUCACACCAUGGGAGUGGGUUGCAAAAGAAGUAGGUAGCUUAACCUUCGGGAGGGCGCUUACCACUUUGUGAUUCAUGACUGGGGUGAAGUCGUAACAAGGUAACCGUAGGGGAACCUGCGGUUGGAUCACCUCCUUACCUUAAAGAA